Molecule: long non-coding RNA, 3004 nt
Filed under: Rattus norvegicus (Norway rat)
Lineage: Eukaryota; Metazoa; Chordata; Mammalia; Rodentia; Muridae
Description: long non-coding RNA NONRATT013695
Source: RNAcentral
UUUUUUUUGAUCCAAGGCCUUGUGAAAAAUUCCAUGUUUCUAUUUCUUCAUGUAUUUUCAAUUAUUUUUCUUUAUUUUUUUUCAGUAUCUAAUCACUGUACACUCUCUAAUUCCUAAUGAGAAGAACUGAUCAGGAGCUGAUGUGAGACUGUUUUUGGGAUCGUUAGGACUUGAUUAUAGAAGAGACUUAAGUGUUUGAACUUCACCUUUACUCUUGCCACCAAAUACUGGUUCUGUGUGUCCUCAUGCCUUUUGAGUUUUAACGCUAGACAUGGAUGCCAUGUGCAGGGUCAAAUUAAAGCCUAGAGAAUGUUUCCCCGAUAGCACUAUAGUAGUUCCAUCCCAAAUGCCAUCCCAGAAUAAGAGGCCUGUUAAAUAGAGUCCCUUGAUCACACUAUUUAGAACUAAGUGCAGUUAAUGCUUUGAGAAUGUUGCAAGUUCUGACAUCCUACCAAGAGGACAACUCCAGGCCUACAGCUGACUGCUUCUGUCAGGUCAGUUUUCUUUACAUCAGAUCCCUUUAACAAAACACCAGCCGUGGGGAGGAAAGAAAGGACGCAUCAGAUGGCGACAUGCUUAAUCCCUGUGAUGUAAUGUAAACAAUAGCUCUUAGCUUGAUUAGCUCAACAACUCAGUAUCCAUAAUGUCCAAUUAAGUUGCCCGGAACACUUUAUUUCCGUAAGGUUUUGAAUGACUGUAUAUUUUGGAAUUACGCAAUGCUGUACUACAGGGUAGAUGUAGUGAGUUUUAUAUUUGUAUGUUUACAGAUGUAAAUACACAGCAAAUGUACCUGUACCUUUACUUGAACCUGGUGUGGGAGAGCAGUUGCAUGCUCCUCUCCAGCUUUCUUCUAAGUUACAUUGUGAGCCUGCAGGUUUGUGUUUCAUAACGACAGAAGGGGGAUAUUUUUCUCCUUUAUUGCUUUGCAUUUCUCAUGUAAUCGGAGUCAAAGUAAAUAGUUAAUAGAACACUUUUUAAAUUUCACAGGCCAAUUAUACUCACUAUUCUGAACGGCUUCACUCUUUCUUUCUCAGUAUUCGAGGUUAUAGUUGAAGUGAAUUUACAUGUGAAGAAAUGACAGUAGAUUUGGGAACAGUGCUUUAAACACUGACCUCUCUUCAAACAGAGUUACAUGUAUAACAUCACCCAUCCCCUGCAUGUCCUGUCUUCCAAGGAUUUAGACAACAUUUGGGAGUUAGGACACAUUUCCUCACAGAACUUAGAGCUGUUCUCUGUGCACACUGCUGAAGCUCAACGGGGAGCCAAAACCACCUGACCACGGAUACACUCAUAACGUGGGCAACGAGUGGCUCAAGCACGUCCUGAGCAGCAUUUGUCUGUCACAGUAAGGGGUCUGUGUGCAGCAGCAAGGUCCUCCUCAUGCUGGGGUGUCUGCCAGUGCUGCUGUCCUUUCCUAGGGGGUAGGGGUGGAAGAAAGGACUCAGCAGGAGGGUGCACGGAUGCUGCACAUGACGCACCCUGACUAUGCCUGUUUUGAAAGUAUGCCAAGUAAGUUAGUUUUUGUUGUUGAUGUCUUUGAAAGCAAAAGCUUUGUGUGUUAACUUAUUUUCAGUAUCUUGAACUUAUUUAUGAUUUGCUGACACAGUGAUUUAUCCAUCUAAAAAUAGAUACUUUUCCAUUUAAAACUAAUUUAUAAAUGGUAUACUCUUGGGAAGAUAUAAAAUCUUUUAGAAGUUUCCUGAAUAUUUUCACCAUGAAGACAGACUUAGAUACUCUUUUGAUGCCACUAUCUGAUCUAAAUAUUUAUGAUAAAUGUAUUAUUUUUUUAAAGAGCGUGAUGAGAUCUGUGAUUAAAUGCUAGUACUCAAAACCCGAAUCCCCCAAACUUCAAGUUGUUGGUUAGCUCGCUACCUGAAUACAAACUGUACAGUCUGUUCUAGAAGUCAGGUUCUCAGCCUCAGGAGAUUGCCUUCCUUUCUAAAAGGAAGAUGAACUUAAUGGGCUUAAACUGGGCGUGGUGGUGCAUGCCUUUAAUCUCUGUACUUGGGGGGCAGAGGUAGGAAGAUCCCUGUGAGUUUAAGGCCAGUCUGUUCUGUAGAGUGAGACCCAUGCCAUUAAUUACAUGGUGAGACCCUGCAUUAAGAAAAAGAAAUAAGAAUGGGCUUAGGUGAGGGGUAUAAAAUACCAAACUCUAAAUCAUGCACAGUUUCUCUACCGUGUACCUGAGGUAAAUUACAAGUAUGAGAGCAACCUGGCCUGGCCCUCAAGGGAAAGCGUGUCUCAUUGUAGCAAGGUCCUGUGCUGUGAUUGGACACCAUUCCUCUUUUCUCCACAAACAGUGCAGAGAGCUGUCGGAGUGGCAAUGUGAGCAGAUUCCCCGGUGCUCCCUCUGCUCCUACAACACUACAGUAAGUAAAUGAACUAUAUGGGGAGCUGGGAGCCUGGAAAUGAGCUGUGCUCUAUAGCCAGCCUUCCCUGAGGAAAGCCACCCCACCUAGCUGUUGUGACAGCUGCUCACAGCAUUCUGAAUCAGGGUUUUCUCUAAGAAAUCCUUUAGCAUCAACAAAGUCUAGGAUGAUCCAGCCAUCAUGAUUGUCAGUUCAGAGAAUGUUGUCUGCUGCCACUGUCAUGAGUAGCUUCAUGGUGUGUGGCUCAUGUACGGUCUGAGAAGUCUGGAGAGGACAGUGACUGGGAAGGUAGGAGGGCCUUCCUGAAUUCCCACUCUGAAAUGGACAGGAUGUGAAGUAACGUAAAGUCCCACAUUGCUUUACUAGCUGUUAGGAGUUACUCCUAAAGAUGAGCCCUGCUUCUCAGUUGUGCCAGAAAAGGCUUUUAACAGUGUGAAUUCAGUUCUUCUCUGUACAGAAAGGGAACACUGGGUUACUCAAUGGAGUUGUUUAUACACAGCAUUCGUUGCCAUCGAGUCUCAGAUGGCAGGAGCACAUGAGAAGGGGAUUCUCCGUCUUUUAUAAACCCUUUUCUUUGGCUGUAUCUGAUGACAGUGUAAGAUCUUAAUAAAGUUUUGUGUUCUUUUUGAAGAGUU